Non-coding RNA from Oryctolagus cuniculus (rabbit), 4211 nucleotides. The record is from RefSeq and is a predicted model, not a curated record. Lineage: Eukaryota; Metazoa; Chordata; Mammalia; Lagomorpha; Leporidae.
CCCUCACCAACGGUUUUUAGGAGACCGGAUACCCGGUGGGCGAAGCACCUUCCGUUGUCGUGGCGGCGCUGGUCCCGCGGUGGGGUGGCCGACCCGCCCCUGUGCCCGCCCCGGCGCGUUCCCUCCGCCGGCGCCGCCGCCGCACCGAAACGCGAGUCCUUCCACGCGGUAGUUGCUUUGGCCUUGCACCCAAGACUGAAAGCUCCUUGAUGACAAAAGAUUGCAUCUGUCUUGUUCAUCACUGUGUUCCCAGUAUCUGGCAUAUAAUAUGCCGAAAGGUAUACAUAACCUUCAGCAGCAGUUUUUUUGAAUCAAACCUCAGCUCUUCAUUCUCAUCCAUUCCUCACAUCUGGUCUGUUCUUUUUCCUCUUUCAAAUAAAAACUGAAAAAAGAAGUUCUCUUCUCUGUCUCAUUCCCCUAGCCUCCUUUUUUCUUGAAAAGUGGGGUGAUAGAAAAAGGCAGAGUGACAGAGGUUGUCAUCCUUCACUUACCAGAUGCUCACAAUAGCCAGAAAUGGGCCAGGCUGAAGCCGGGAGCUAGGAACUCUAUCCAGAUCUCCCAUGUGGGUGGCAGGGAACCAAGCACUUGAACCAUCUUCUGCUGUCUUCCCAGCUCAUCAGCUGGACUCACACCAGGCACUCUAAUGUAGCAGGGAUCCUAAGAGGUGGCUUAACUUGCUGUACCACAGAGCCAGCCCUUCCCUUUUUUAGUCUCUGUUGCUAUAGCUCAUAGGACCCACUUUGGAGCAGGCAGGAGAGAAUACUUGUAAGUGAGCUGACAUAGGAUACUCGUGUAUGCUUUACUUCCCCUUGGUUAAUUUUGGCAGAUAGCCCCUCUCCAGUAAAAAUGUCCAAUAUUUAAUGUGCUUUUCCUCCUCCCCAUAAACUGCCUCUGGGACCUCACUUGAGAAUAUAUAAAUUGGUAAGAAAAAAAUGAGCUCUAUAGUAGAAAAGGGAGUUGACUAAGCUGAGGGAACUCAUAAACAAAGGAAUAGAUCAUUAAUGAGCUCUUCCCACUAAAAGUCCUCCCUUAUUGCUAUUUGAGAAACUGCAAAACUUUUCGAAAGAUUUGUUUAUUUACUUAUUUGAAAGGCAGAGUGACACGGAGGAGAGACAGAGAAAGGUCUUCCAUCCACUGUCACUCCUAGAUGGCUGCAAUAGCCAUGUCUGGGCCAGGCUGAAGUUAGUAGACAGAAGUACCAUCUGGGUCUCCCACGUGGAUACAGGCACCCAAGCACUUGGGCCAUCUUCUGCUGCCUUCUCAGGUGCAUUAGCAGGGAGCUGGAUUGGAAGUGGAGUAGCUGGGACUUGAACCUGUGCUUUGAUAUGGGAUGUGGCUUCAGAAAUGAUGGCCUAACCUGCUGUGCUGCAACACUAGCCCACAAAUAUUUUUGCCUCUCAAACUAACAAAGUAAAAUACUGAAUUAAUUAAAAUGCCCGGGGAUCGGCCUGUGGCACAGCAGGUUAAAGCCCUGGCCUGAAGCGCUGGCAUCCCAUGUGGGCACCGAUUCUAGUCCUAGCUGCUCCACUUUCGAUCCAGCUCUCUGCUAUGGACUGGGAAAGCAGUGGAAGAUGGCCCAAGUGCUUGGGCCCCUGCACCUGCGUGGGAGACCUGGAAGAAGACCCUGGUUCCUGGCUUUAGAUCGGCACAGCUCCGACCGUUGCGACCAUCUGGGGAGUGAACCAGUGGAUGAAAGACCUUUCUCUCUCCCUCUGCCUCUCCUUCUCUAUCUGUGUAAUUCUGCCUUUCAAAUAAAUAAAUCUUUUUAAAAAAAUUAAAAAAUGCUCACGGUGCUGUGGCUUAGUGGGUAAAGCCGGCAUCCCAUAUGGGCACCAGUUCUAGUCCUGGCUGCUCUGUUUCUGAUCCAGCUCUCUGCUAUGGCCUGGGAAAGCAGUAGAAGAUGGCCCAAGUGCUUUGGCCCCUGCAACCACGUGGGAGACCCAGAAGAAGCUCCUGGCUUCAGAUUGGUGCAGCUCUGGCCGUUGCGACCAACUGGGGAGUGAACCAGGAGAUGGAAGACCUUUGUUUCUCUCUCUCUGCCUCUCCUUCUCUGUAUAAUGCUGACUGUCAAGUAUAUAAAUAAAUAUUUAAAAAUAAAUUUUAAAGAAGUGCCCGGUGUUGGAGUAGGUUCAAAAAAUGAAUGAUCACAUGACUCAGCAGUACUACUUGUAAAUACAUACCCCAGAGAAGUGAAAACAUAUGUUCCCACACACAAAAAACUUGUAUAUAAAUAUUCAUGGCAGCAUUAUUCAUAUUAAUAGUAAAAAUGAAAGCUACCUGAAUCUUCAACUGAUAAAUAAAUAGAAAAGUAAGAUGCAUCAUAUUCUUUUUCUUAAAAAUAGAUCUUUAUUUAUUUGUUUUGAAAGUCAGAGUUCACACAGAGAGGUAUCUUCCAUCUGUUUGUUCACUCACCCAGGUGACUGCAGUGGCUCCCGCUGGGCCAGGCUCAAGCCGGGAGCUUUAUGCAGGUUUCCCACAUGGGUGGCAGGAGCCCUAACACUUGGGCCAUCCUCUUCUGCUUUCUGAGGCUGUUAGCAAGAAGCCCAGUCAGAAGCAGAGCAGCGGGGACUUGUACUGGCACCCUUAUAGGAUACCAGUGCUGCAGGUGGCAGCUUUACCUGCUUUGCCAUAGAGUCAGCCCCAUGGUAUAUUAUUACCAUGGAAUAUUAUUCAUCAAUAAAAAAGGAACAAAAUACUGAUAAAUGUUGUUGUAUAGGUGAACCUUGAAAACAUUGUUAAAUGAGCCAUUCACAAGACAACAUAUUUUAGGAUUCUAUACAUAACAGGCAGAUCUAUAAAGACCAAAAGCUGAUUAGUGAUUGGGGUUGGGAAUUGUGGGGAAAUAGGAAUGACUGUGGGUAAGGGGUUUCUUUUUUUGGGGUGAUGAAUAUGUUCCAAAAUUGAUUAUGAUAAUGGUGGUAUAACUUGAUAAAUAUACUAAAAACCAUUGACUCAUAUAUUCUCAAUGGAUGAAUUGUGUGCUAUGUAGAUUAUAACUCCAUAAAGCUAUUAUAGAGUUAGUGGUGGAGUUUGUUAAAUGAAGACCUUUUUUUGGAGAAAAUCAAAACAGCUUACUUUAAUAUGCCCAGCCAGGAGCCAGACUCAGUAAAGGUCUCCCAUGUGGGUGGCAGGAACCCAAUUACCUGAGCCAUGAUCUUUGCCUUCCAGGUUCUGCAUUAGCAGGAAGCUGGAAUCAGGAGGUGGAGGCAGGAGUCUGUCUAACCCGGGCACACUGCUGUGGGAUGUGGAUGUCUUAACUGCUAGGCUAAAUGCCUGCUCUGUGAGAUGCAUUUUGAGGAUGCAUCAGAUUUCUUUCUGGAAUGAGAUGGUUGGAUUUGAUCACUGGCUGGAAUAGGAGAAACACAUUUAGACUGAUAAAACAGAGGGGUUUUGUUUUUAAGAUUUAUUUAUUUGAAAGAGUGACAGGGAGAGCUUCCAUCUGCUGCUUCACUCCUGAAAUGGCUGCAACGGCCAGGGGAGGGGCCAGGCCAAAGCCCGGAACCUGGAACGCCAUCUAGGUUUCCCAUGUGGGUGCACUUGGGCCUUUGUCUUCUGCUUUCCCAGGUACAUUAGCAGAGAGCUGGAUCAAAAGUGGAACAGCUGAGGGGCCGGCGCAGUGGCUCACUUGGUUAAUCCUCUGCCUGCGGUGCUGGCAUCCCAAAUGGGCACCGGGUUCUAGUCUCAGUUGCUUCUCUUCCAGUCCAGCUCUCUGCUGUGGCCCAGGAAAGCAGUGGAGGAUGGCCCAAGUGCUUGGGCCCCUGCACCCGCAUGGGAGACCAGGAGGAGGUGCCUGGCUCCUGGCUUCGGAUCGACUGCGCCGGCCGUAGCAGCCAUUUGGAGGGUAAACCAACGGAAGGAAGACCUUUCUUUCUUUCUUUCUUUCUUUCUUUCUUUCUUUCUUUCUUUCUUUCUUUCUUUCUUUCUCUCUCUCUCUCUCUCUCUCUCUCUCUCUCUCUCUCUCACUGUCUAACUCUGCCUAAUAAAAUUAAAAAAAAAAAAGUGGAACAGCUGGGACUUGAACCAGUGCUCAUUUGGGAUGCUGGCAUCGCAGGCUGUGGCUUAACUCACUGUACCACAAUGUGGGCCCCCAUAAGAUUUAUUUAUUUAUUUAUUUGAAAGGCAGAGUUAUUGAAAGAGAAGGAAAGAGAGAGAGAGAGAGAGAGAGAGAGAGAGAGAAAUAUCUUCCAUCUACUGGUUCACUCCCCAAAUGG